UUCUUAUCAAGCAGCAAAGGUUCCCGCAUAGCGCGGGAUUAAUAGGGAAUCCGGUGUAAAUCCGGAGCUGUCCCGCAACUGUAAGUAACACAACAGUUUUUACCCUUGUUGUCCACUGUCCCGGUAGCUAUCGGGGUGGGAAGGACGGUAAAAAUGUUAUAAGUCAGGAGACCUGCCUUUACUGUAAUUGGCAA
RNAcentral lists this non-coding RNA (194 nucleotides) under Sphingobacteriales bacterium. Lineage: Bacteria; Pseudomonadati; Bacteroidota; Sphingobacteriia; Sphingobacteriales. The record is from RNAcentral.